This 490-nucleotide ribosomal RNA is filed under the name uncultured soil bacterium. Its description in RNAcentral is "bacterial SSU rRNA". It matches the Rfam family "Bacterial small subunit ribosomal RNA", at positions 26 to 533 of the family's 1533-position model. The record is from RNAcentral.
AGAACGAACGCUGGCGGCAUGCCUAAUACAUGCAAGUCGAACGAAGGCUUCGGCCUUAGUGGCGCACGGGUGCGUAACGCGUGGGAAUCUGCCCCUUGGUUCGGAAUAACAGUUGGAAACGACUGCUAAUACCGGAUGAUGACGAAAGUCCAAAGAUUUAUCGCCAAGGGAUGAGCCCGCGUAGGAUUAGCUAGUUGGUGAGGUAAAGGCUCACCAAGGCGACGAUCCUUAGCUGGUCUGAGAGGAUGAUCAGCCACACUGGGACUGAGACACGGCCCAGACUCCUACGGGAGGCAGCAGUAGGGAAUAUGGACAAGUGGGCGAAAGCCUGAUCCAGCAAUGCCGCGUGAGUGAUGAAGGCUUAGGUUGUAAAGCUCUUUACCGAGAUAGAUAAUGACUAGUAGUACGGAAGAAGUAACGCCCCGGUACCUAACCGUCCGUAGCCCGAAGCCGACGGACCCGGACGGUUAAACUCCGUUAGGACGGCGGG